ACUAACCAACCGAGCUGCCUUUCCGGCUCGACUCUGCCGGUGAGAGCGGUAGCGCGUGGCGGCCGUAGGCGAGCGCAGCGUGCGGCAGCAUCGCCCUUCGCGGCGAGGCGGCGGGGGCGCAACCGGUGAGGGGACCUACGUUGCUGCCGCAAUCCGCCGCUUGCCUUCGCCGCCGCCCGCGCUGAAUCCGAGCCGGAGCGCGCGUCGGUUGCCGUCACAUCGACCCCACCCGGCCCGGCGCGGCGCCAGCACUCGCCGCCCCUCCGCCGUCCGCGCGCACAGGUGAGAUGAAGCAUCUAGAUGAGCUGAGUCCGCAUCGAGGAAUAGGUUGAUGUCAUCUCCUGUGCUGUCGCCACUCGAGGAUAGCCGAGCGGAGCACUCUGUUCGGCGUGAGCUCGCGGUUUUCGAGACUCAGGUUCGUCAUCGGCGACCUGGCGUUGCCGCCGUCGAGCCAGUUUCUGAUGGCAUUGGCUUCAUACGUGUACCCGUCUGCUGCGAUGUGAGGAUCAGUCAUCACCUCCUGUUCACCAUCCAUCGGAGCAAAAGUUCUGGCGGCACAUAUAUUGCAAGAAGGUUUUCAUUGGGUUCCCUGUAAGUGCACACAACUAAUGGAUUUUAGUCAUUUUCCUGGUUUCUUGGUAAGAGUGCAAUACACUGGUAUCCUAGUUCAAUUCGUUGACAGAAGUAAAGAUACUCAAAUGUAGCAUUAUGUGUCCUACAAUUCUCCGCAUGCUGUACGAAGUACUAUUAUGCAUGAGAUGCACUAAGCUCUAUGAAGUUCAAAAAGUCAGGUAGCAAAUGACCAUUCACUUGACUUUACCUUGUGCAUAUCAGAUGGCCAUUGCAGGUAAACCAUAUCUUGCAUGAUGGGGAUGCAGUCUCCAUCAGCUUGAGGGCUAUCUUGGAAUUUGGUUCUUUCAUUUCCCUACAGGUUAUAAUAUCAUAAGGUUUGUGCACAUAUAUUUAGUAUGGAUUCAUCUCAUAAAAUGUUCUAUCUAUUCCUGCUACCUAUGUAGUUUGAUUAGUCCUGGACUCCUGAUGCUGGUGUAGAAUGAAAUAAAUUUACGACUGAAGUUUUAGUUCAUUAAUUUGCUGACGCUGAUAGCCUAGUCC
RNAcentral lists this long non-coding RNA (1113 nucleotides) under Oryza sativa aus subgroup. RNAcentral describes it as "lncRNA OsN22_UnG000650". The record is from RNAcentral. Lineage: Eukaryota; Viridiplantae; Streptophyta; Magnoliopsida; Poales; Poaceae.